Molecule: ribosomal RNA, 197 nt
Filed under: uncultured bacterium
Lineage: Bacteria
Description: partial 16S ribosomal RNA
Rfam family: Bacterial small subunit ribosomal RNA
Source: RNAcentral
ACGCUCGACACCAUGGGAGGCAGCAGUGGGGGAUAUUGCACAAUGGGGGAAACCCUGAUGCAGCAACGCCGCGUGAAGGAAGACGGUUUUCGGAUUGUAAACUUCUGUUCUUAGUGACGAUAAUGACGGUAGCUAAGGAGAAAGCUCCGGCUAACUACGUGUCAGCAGCCGCGGUAAUCUGAGCGGGCUGGCAAGGC